CAGCAGCAGCAGCGUCCCACAGUGGAGUAGGAGGGAAAGAAAAGAGACCAAGUGGGUGGACAGAGCUAGGUUGUCUUAUGUGUAUAUGUAAUUAUAGGUUAUGAGUGGACAGAGCUAGGUUGUCUUAUGUGUAUAUGUAAUUAAUUAUAGGUUAUGGUGAUGAGGAACAAUGGCAUUUGCAGGCUGUGAUUCUCAACUGGUCUGGCCUUGGGAUCCACAAUUUCCGAUGGUCAUAAGUUACGACCCAAAUUUUAUAGCAUUCAACCCAUAAAAUAAACAUCAUCUAUCGGACAUCAGAGAGUAUUUUUUCCCCACACUGUUGAGUUAUCUGGGGGGCUAUUUGCUUCACCUUUUGUCCAACUUAAUGAUUCAAAUUUCAUGUUACAUUCUUCAUGAAAUUAGCUCUUUAUACAAAUACUGUAUGUUGAUUCCUUCCCCACUCACACAACUGCA
Clupea harengus (Atlantic herring) is the source of this 453-nucleotide long non-coding RNA. NCBI's taxonomy places the organism in Eukaryota, Metazoa, Chordata, Actinopteri, Clupeiformes, Clupeidae. The record is from Ensembl.